Long non-coding RNA from Bombus pyrosoma, 1736 nucleotides. RefSeq lists it as uncharacterized. The record is from RefSeq and is a predicted model, not a curated record. NCBI's taxonomy places the organism in Eukaryota, Metazoa, Arthropoda, Insecta, Hymenoptera, Apidae. The transcript is spliced from 2 exons.
UAAUCGGAAAUUUAAAUUUAUAUUUCAACUACUAUCGUUCAGUUUUCUUUUCGUUCAAAUUAACAAAAAACCAAACAAGUAAAUACGUAACAAUAUAUAAAUGAAAACGUCAUAUUUUGUAAGUAUUCGCAUAGUAAAAUAUUCUGUCCUUUUCUUAUUUGCUAAAACCACUUCGUUAACAUCGAGUUAUUUUAUUAUAAUGUCACUAAUUUUUCUUGGUUUUUCAGUUUCCUGUCGGUCAUUGAUAAUAUCUGCUUCAGCACUCCAUUAGUAUUUACUUAAAUUUGGUAGUAAGUUCCUUAUAACUGUGUUGGCUUCUGCGUAUACCCUUUGAUGUUUUGAUGGUUUACCCCAGUAGUUAUUGCCUUCGGUAUUCUUGUACCUGUGAGUAGAGUGGUCUCAAAAUUUUCCACCGGGCAACCGUAAGUCUUGUUAAUUUGAAAUUGUAAUUGUAGGGCAUCCAUUAUUAACCAGUAUUUUGCUUCUUUUAGUUUAAUUGUAAUAUUAUCGUAGAUUUUUAAUAGUAUUAUUUUCUUUUAUGUACAUAUAUCUCAAGGCAAAUGAAGUUAGUUUAUCUAUCCAUUCCAGCUGACAGUUAUGUUCUACGGAAUGGGUCCAUAACCUGUCUUUGUACGUACACUUCCUUCUAUGAUGAUUAAUUCUUCACAAGGUAACUUUCACUUUCACUGCUUUAAUUAUUUUAUUAGAUCAACACCUUUUAUGUUUAAAUAGUGGUUAGGAUGUGCACAAUAAUUUUUCUUUUUCUUUUUAGGUUUCCCACUAUCUGCGUUAUUCGACAAGCAAUGCUACUACUGCACUGUGUUACCUUGAAAUUGUUUAGUUUAUUGUUAUUUCAAUUAUGCGCUAGUUUUACUUGUCCAAGUGCACUGUUCGCAGAAUCUCGUUCACUUUGAUCUUGACGUUUUGAUUUUGCAAAAUUUCUGACACUUAUUGCAGUCCUGUAUAUUGAUUAGGAAAUUUUCCUUUACUAGGUUCCCUUAUUGGAUAUAUUAGAUCUCCUACUUUGGAAUUUUGCGAGUCGAUUCGUCUGUAGUAGUACUCUUCUGGCUUUAAAUUGGACGUUAUCGAGUUUUCUCUUGCUGUUUGCUGCACAGUGUUGAUUUUGUCAAACAUAUCUCCGAGAUAUUCUGCAUAUGUUGAUUCCAUUUUCUCUUCGAUUAUUACUUCACCAGUGGGGUCUCUGGUCAAGUGCCCAAGGUUUAAUUCGUGCGGGGAGAAUUGCGUUCCUUCGUGUAAAUCUUGAAUCGUUGGUACUGUUACGUAUUUGUAUUUAUUAUAUAUAUUUUUUUUUUUUUAAAUUUGAUUGUCGUUAAUUUGAACGAAAAGAAAAUAAUGAAUGAACGAUAGUAAUCGAAAUAUAAAUUUAAACUUCCGAUUAAUACGGUAGUUGCUGCCACCAGAAAUAGUCUAAGGACUAUUUCGAAAAAUUUUUUUUUAUUUAUUUUUAUUUAGUUUAUUUAUUUCUCUCUUUUUUUUUACUUGGUGUUAAAAGAAUUGCUGUGCUACGGGUACAGUUGCGUCUGUCACGUUUAACAACGUCAAUGAAAUUCCAGAUCUAUGUCGCACAUUCGGUGCGAACUCAAACCUGAAGAACUUCGGAACGUUGUACCUUAACUCGGGGAUCGUCUAGUAAUAUCGUCAAUAGAAUUCCAGGCCUAUGUCGCUUAUUCGUGCGCACUCAAACCUGAAGAAUUCCGAAUUGUUAGCAACGUCAA